CCAAGGCUAUGGCGGCGCCGGGCGCUGCGGGUGGCCGGGCUCUGCUCCGGGGCCUCUUUCUCUGUGUCCCGCGAGGAGGAGCCGGCUCCGUAUCCCGGAGCCUCCGCAGUAGCGCUGUCAGGAGCAGCAGAGAGAAGAGAUUCCACCUUCCAGAAUCCACCACUGUCUUCCUCCCUUCCCACUGGCCCUGAGCUUUAUCUUUUUGUUACUAUUUAUUUCUUUUUAAGUAAUAGAAUAACACUCAGGAAUUUAAUGUUUCCUGAUAGGCUGGUAUGAGUGUAAAAUAUGACCCUUUAAUUGUCUUGAAAUAUGAAUUAAAAUGUUAUUUUAUCUCUU
Molecule: long non-coding RNA, 336 nt
Organism: Gracilinanus agilis (Agile Gracile Mouse Opossum)
Lineage: Eukaryota; Metazoa; Chordata; Mammalia; Didelphimorphia; Didelphidae
Exons: 2
Source: RefSeq, a predicted model, not a curated record